RNAcentral lists this unclassified non-coding RNA (163 nucleotides) under soil metagenome. RNAcentral's name for it is "partial internal transcribed spacer 1". The record is from RNAcentral.
CAGAGUUGCAAGACUCCCUAAAACCAUUGUGAACCUACCUUCUACCGUUGCUUUCGGCGGGCGGGCCCAGCGCCCCCCCCCGGCCCCCCGCGGGCGCCCGCCGGAGGAUACCCAAACUCUUGACAUUAGUGGCCUCUCUGAGUAUUCUUUACUGAAUAAGUCA